Molecule: ribosomal RNA, 1490 nt
Filed under: Salmonella enterica subsp. enterica
Lineage: Bacteria; Pseudomonadati; Pseudomonadota; Gammaproteobacteria; Enterobacterales; Enterobacteriaceae
Also listed under: 1 other name
Description: bacterial SSU rRNA
Rfam family: Bacterial small subunit ribosomal RNA
Source: RNAcentral
CGAACGGUAACAGGAAGCAGCUUGCUGCUUCGCUGACGAGUGGCGGACGGGUGAGUAAUGUCUGGGAAACUGCCUGAUGGAGGGGGAUAACUACUGGAAACGGUGGCUAAUACCGCAUAACGUCGCAAGACCAAAGAGGGGGACCUUCGGGCCUCUUGCCAUCAGAUGUGCCCAGAUGGGAUUAGCUUGUUGGUGAGGUAACGGCUCACCAAGGCGACGAUCCCUAGCUGGUCUGAGAGGAUGACCAGCCACACUGGAACUGAGACACGGUCCAGACUCCUACGGGAGGCAGCAGUGGGGAAUAUUGCACAAUGGGCGCAAGCCUGAUGCAGCCAUGCCGCGUGUAUGAAGAAGGCCUUCGGGUUGUAAAGUACUUUCAGCGGGGAGGAAGGUGUUGUGGUUAAUAACCGCAGCAAUUGACGUUACCCGCAGAAGAAGCACCGGCUAACUCCGUGCCAGCAGCCGCGGUAAUACGGAGGGUGCAAGCGUUAAUCGGAAUUACUGGGCGUAAAGCGCACGCAGGCGGUCUGUCAAGUCGGAUGUGAAAUCCCCGGGCUCAACCUGGGAACUGCAUUCGAAACUGGCAGGCUUGAGUCUUGUAGAGGGGGGUAGAAUUCCAGGUGUAGCGGUGAAAUGCGUAGAGAUCUGGAGGAAUACCGGUGGCGAAGGCGGCCCCCUGGACAAAGACUGACGCUCAGGUGCGAAAGCGUGGGGAGCAAACAGGAUUAGAUACCCUGGUAGUCCACGCCGUAAACGAUGUCUACUUGGAGGUUGUGCCCUUGAGGCGUGGCUUCCGGAGCUAACGCGUUAAGUAGACCGCCUGGGGAGUACGGCCGCAAGGUUAAAACUCAAAUGAAUUGACGGGGGCCCGCACAAGCGGUGGAGCAUGUGGUUUAAUUCGAUGCAACGCGAAGAACCUUACCUGGUCUUGACAUCCACAGAAGAAUCCAGAGAUGGAUUUGUGCCUUCGGGAACUGUGAGACAGGUGCUGCAUGGCUGUCGUCAGCUCGUGUUGUGAAAUGUUGGGUUAAGUCCCGCAACGAGCGCAACCCUUAUCCUUUGUUGCCAGCGGUUAGGCCGGGAACUCAAAGGAGACUGCCAGUGAUAAACUGGAGGAAGGUGGGGAUGACGUCAAGUCAUCAUGGCCCUUACGACCAGGGCUACACACGUGCUACAAUGGCGCAUACAAAGAGAAGCGACCUCGCGAGAGCAAGCGGACCUCAUAAAGUGCGUCGUAGUCCGGAUUGGAGUCUGCAACUCGACUCCAUGAAGUCGGAAUCGCUAGUAAUCGUGGAUCAGAAUGCCACGGUGAAUACGUUCCCGGGCCUUGUACACACCGCCCGUCACACCAUGGGAGUGGGUUGCAAAAGAAGUAGGUAGCUUAACCUUCGGGAGGGCGCUUACCACUUUGUGAUUCAUGACUGGGGUGAAGUCGUAACAAGGUAACCGUAGGGGAACCUGCGGUUGGAUCACCUCCUUACCUUAAAGAA